AUGCACGCUGGCGGCGUGCCUAAUACAUGCAAGUCGCGCGAACGGACGAGAAGCUUGCUUCUCUGAUGUUAGCGGCGGACGGGUGAGUAACACGUGGAUAACCUACCUAUAAGACUGGGAUAACUUCGGGAAACCGGAGCUAAUACCGGAUGAUAUUUUGAACCGCAUGGUUCAAAAGUGAAAGACGGUCUUGCUGUCACUUAUAGAUGGAUCCGCGCUGCAUUAGCUAGUUGGUAAGGUAACGGCUUACCAAGGCAACGAUGCAUAGCCGACCUGAGAGGGUGAUCGGCCACACUGGAACUGAGACACGGUCCAGACUCCUACGGGAGGCAGCAGUAGGGAAUCUUCCGCAAUGGGCGAAAGCCUGACGGAGCAACGCCGCGUGAGUGAUGAAGGUCUUCGGAUCGUAAAACUCUGUUAUUAGGGAAGAACAUAUGUGUAAGUAACUGUGCACAUCUUGACGGUACCUAAUCAGAAAGCCACGGCUAACUACGUG
Molecule: ribosomal RNA, 496 nt
Filed under: uncultured bacterium
Lineage: Bacteria
Description: partial 16S ribosomal RNA
Rfam family: Bacterial small subunit ribosomal RNA
Source: RNAcentral